This 200-nucleotide ribosomal RNA is filed under the name uncultured bacterium. RNAcentral describes it as "partial 16S ribosomal RNA". It matches the Rfam family "Bacterial small subunit ribosomal RNA", at positions 8 to 209 of the family's 1533-position model. The record is from RNAcentral.
AGAGUUUGAUCCUGGCUCAGGACGAACGCUGGCGGCGUGCUUAACACAUGCAAGUCGAACGAUGAACCUCUUUCGGGAGGGGAUUAGUGGCGAACGGGUGAGUAACACGUGGGCAAUCUGCCUUCACUCUGGGACAAGCCCUGGAAACGGGGUCUAAUACCGGAUAUGACACGGGAUGCAUGAUCUUCGUGUGGAAAGCU